This 190-nucleotide non-coding RNA is filed under the name Jiulongibacter sediminis. Lineage: Bacteria; Pseudomonadati; Bacteroidota; Cytophagia; Cytophagales; Leadbetterellaceae. RNAcentral also lists the same sequence under 1 other name. The record is from RNAcentral.
ACUUUUGCCUCAGUUUUGGGUGUCAGAAGCUCUCUUCGGGAGCUUCGACUUAAUAGGGAAUCAUGUGUAAAACAUGAGCUGUCCCCGCAACUGUAAGUUGUCAAAACCUGAACCACAAGCCACUGCUUCGGCGGGAAGGCAAAUUCAGGUGACAAUGAGCCAGGAGACCUGCCUGAAAUCAUUCUUGUUG